GACGGAGGGUGCAAGCGUUGUUCGGAUUGACUGGGCGUAAAGGGCGUGUAGGCGGUUUGUCAAGUCGGGUGUGAAAGCCUGGGGCUCAGCCCCAGAAGUGCAUCCGAAACUAGCGAGCUAGAGCGCGAUAGAGGAGGGUGGAAUUCCUGGUGUAGCGGUGAAAUGCGUAGAUAUCAGGAGGAACACCGGUGGUGUAAACGGCUUUCUGGACCAUAACUGACGCUGAGGCACGAAAGCGUGGGUAGCAAACAG
This 252-nucleotide ribosomal RNA is filed under the name uncultured bacterium. RNAcentral describes it as "partial 16S ribosomal RNA". It matches the Rfam family "Bacterial small subunit ribosomal RNA", at positions 524 to 775 of the family's 1533-position model. The record is from RNAcentral.